GGCACUGGGGUAAUUCCAAGUCCAUGUAGCUCAGAAAGCAGUGAUAUUUGGGCUUCACCAUUACAUAAGUAUCUUGUGUAGCUGACCCGGGUUGGGGCUCACAUUACAUUUCCUAUACAACCUGUUUUUCCCCCUUAACAAUUGCCUAGUUUAAGCAUGUUCCAUUUUUGAAAGCUAUUUGUGCUUUUCUGUGGAUUGCUUAUUCAGGUUCCUAGUUGGGUAGAGUUUCUUCUUACUAAUUUGUUUUUUGCUGUUGUUGUUGUUUGUCUUUUUGAGACAGGGUCUCACUAUGCAGUUCAGGUUGGCCUUGAGCUCACUUUGUAGCCCAGGCUGGACUCGAAUUUGCAGCGAUCCUCCUGCCUCAGCCUCCCGAGUGCUGGUAUUACAGGGGUGCACCACCACGCCCAGCUCCUUUUACUAAUUUGUAAGAGUUUCUUUAUAUAUUAAAAAAUGAAGCUGGGUAUGGUGACGCACGCCUGUAAUCCCAGCACUCGGGAGGCUGAGGCAGGAAGACCAUGAGUUCAAAGCCAGCCUGGGGGAUGUAACAAGACCGGCUCAAAAACCAAACCACUGCAGAGGCUGGGACAGGAAGAUCAUAGGAGUUCAAGGCCAGCCUGAACUCCACAAUAAGACCCUGUCUCAAACAAAACAAAAACGAACAAAAUGAAACCGAACAAUGCAAAGUAAAAUCCUUGAAAAAUCAGAUCUGUGGGGGGUUGGAGACAGCAAGCUAGAGGGACGUGCACGUACAGGGACGUUUGUGUGUGGAAGCCCCGGCUGGGCCUGCCCGGCCUUUCAUAUCCAGCCCCACUCCAAGGCAGACUUUCUCGAAUCAGUCGUUUCUCCAGAGAUUCCUGCCGGCCCUCCCCUGAGGCAGAGCCGCCUGAUCCAGUCAAGGCCCAGCAGCGUUUCUGCCUUGCUAUGCCGUCACUGCUCCCUGCGACUUCCUUCCAGAGAAUCAGUCCCACCAGGAAGGAGCUGGCGCAGUUACCCCUCAGGAAACUAUUUGAAGACCUUCCUCAGGGUUAAAGACCCGGUGAUUGGUCAGGGGGGCUCUGGGCCGAGCUUUUUCCUGAGAACAACACUUCCGACACAGACUCCGCUCUGGGAAGCUGCGAUGCCUCAGACAUAGGUGCUGUCUGUGUCCUAGCAGAGCCCCCCAGAGGGUGACCUGGGGCAGCAGGGACAGCCCCCCACACCCAGCCAGCCCAGCGCGCGCCUCUCCCGGGCCCGCACUGACUUUGGAGGUGAACUCUGCAAGUCUCUGCCACGUACACCUUCGUGCCUGGGCGGCUGUCUCCCGCACACUCCUUCUCCACCCCGGCCCACAGCCCGGCUGUGUGUGGGCCAGGGACUCUCGGAAGGGGAGGUCCCACCCCAUACCGCAGCACGGACCAGCAGGCUGGGAGCCAGGAUGGAAGAAAAGGGAAAGAAGGAAGCCUCAGUUUCCUCCCUCCCUUCCCUUCAUUCCUUUUCUUUUUUUCUUUUUUUCUUUUUUUUUUUUUUUUUGAGACAAUCUUACUAUGUAGCCCAGGCUGGCCUCAAACUCACAGUGAUCCUCCUGCCUCAGCCUCCCAAGUGCUGGGAUACCAGGCGUGUGCCACACACUUCUGUUUCUUCACGGGAGCUCCAGUCUUCGCCGUCACCUUUGGACAUUCCUCCGGCGCCCGCCCGACUCUGCAGCGGCCAUCCUAAUCCUUGUGAAUCCUUUCACGUCACAUCCUGCAGGAGAUCUGUGCCCUAGGGAGCCUAAUAUCGGGCCUGAAUAGCACCGCGUGAUUGGCCACGAUGACAAGAACUGAAGGAAGGGCGCCGAGACCUGACCGAGAAGGGGCCUCCGCAGGCCACGCGU
Molecule: long non-coding RNA, 1852 nt
Filed under: Chinchilla lanigera (long-tailed chinchilla)
Lineage: Eukaryota; Metazoa; Chordata; Mammalia; Rodentia; Chinchillidae
Description: lncRNA (ENSCLAG00000026688.1)
Source: RNAcentral